AUUGAACGCUGGCGGCAUGCCUUACACAUGCAAGUCGAACGGCAGCACGGGUGCUUGCCCCUGGUGGCGAGUGGCGAACGGGUGAGUAAUACAUCGGAACAUGUCCUGUAGUGGGGGAUAGCCCGGCGAAAGCCGGAUUAAUACCGCAUACGAUCUACGGAUGAAAGCGGGGGACCUUCGGGCCUCGCGCUAUAGGGUUGGCCGAUGGCUGAUUAGCUAGUUGGUGGGGUAAAGGCCUACCAAGGCGACGAUCAGUAGCUGGUCUGAGAGGACGACCAGCCACACUGGGACUGAGACACGGCCCAGACUCCUACGGGAGGCAGCAGUGGGGAAUUUUGGACAAUGGGCGAAAGCCUGAUCCAGCAAUGCCGCGUGUGUGAAGAAGGCCUUCGGGUUGUAAAGCACUUUUGUCCGGAAAGAAAUACUUGGCCCUAAUACGGUCGGGGGAUGACGGUACCGGAAGAAUAAGCACCGGCUAACUACGUG
Molecule: ribosomal RNA, 486 nt
Filed under: uncultured bacterium
Lineage: Bacteria
Description: partial 16S ribosomal RNA
Rfam family: Bacterial small subunit ribosomal RNA
Source: RNAcentral